RNAcentral lists this ribosomal RNA (230 nucleotides) under uncultured bacterium. RNAcentral describes it as "partial 16S ribosomal RNA". It matches the Rfam family "Bacterial small subunit ribosomal RNA", at positions 100 to 334 of the family's 1533-position model. The record is from RNAcentral.
CGGGACGGGUGAGUAAUGUCUGGGAAAUGCCUGAUGAGGGGGAUAACUACUGGAAACGGUAGCUAAUACCGCAUAACGUCGCAAGACCAAAGAGGGGGACCUUGGGCCUCUUGCCAUCGGAUGUGCCCAGAUGGGAUUAGCUAGUAGGUGGGGUAAAGGCUCACCUAGGCGACGAUCCCUAGCUGGUCUGAGAGGAUGACCAGCCACACUGGAACUGAGACACGGUCCAG